UCAUCUUUUUUUUUCUAUGCCAGCGAUUGUCAGCCAGCCCAGGAGGGGUUCGAGUUGAACAUUUUUGUGGACGGCCUACCCCUGUACAAGAGCAGUCGGACCCAAUUUUAGCCGAUUCUCAUGCAGGCUCAUAACGUGCCACAUACUCCUGUAGUGACGGUUGCAAUAUUCUGUGGCGAAUCGAAACCGUUUUUCGUCAAGGAGUUUUUGCAGCCAUUUGUGGACGAGGUGAACAGACCGUAUGUGACAGGUCUGACAAUUAAAUCCCGCACUUACUGGGUGGAAGCGCGUGCAAUAAUUGCAAAUGCUCCGGCACGUGCAUUUAUUAAAGGUGUUAAAUCGCAUAAUGCGUACAGCGCCUGCAUGAAGUGCACAAACGUUGGUGAAUUGGAUGGACACCGGAUGAACUUCAAGUAUGAUGAACAAUGCCCGCCUCGGAACCACAAGGAUUUUUGUGACGACAAAUAUCCAAUACAUGUCAACAACCCUACGCCUUGUACGAGUCUGUUAGGUUGCGAUAUCGUCGACGAUUUUGUGUCAGCCGAUGACAUACACCAAGGGCGUAGAUGCAAAGUUGCUACAUUUGUGGAUAAAUAAAUGGCUUCCCUAACGUACCUUGUUACUUGCCACGUCACCAGCAACGUGAAGUGUCGGCGUACUUGCGUCUGUUAAGGCUGCCUUCAGAUUACCAACGUAAACUGCGCGACCUGCGAUACAUCCAUCUCUGGAAAGCUUUCGAGUAUAGGAUGUUUCUGCUGGUUGCCGGUUUCGUUGUUCUGAAGGAUAGACUUAACCAAGGUUAUUUGACUCUAUACAGGUUACGACAGAGCGAUUGAGAGGGUCACCAUUUUGUAAACCUUGUUUACAAUUUGUCUGUCAAAAUGGACGCCGGUCAGCUGAUGCUUGGAUUAAACAACAUAAAUAAGAUUGCAGAAGCUGAAACUAACGCUUCAAGUUUUCUUCAUCCUAUCACGUUCCAUCGUUAAUAGAAUACGACUUCCUUGUUGACCUGUUCAAUGCUGAGUUUGAAAUUGCAGUCACAGCUUCUGGGGACGAGGAUUUAUGCCAUCUAGCAGCAGCAUUGAUAAAAAGGGUGAGAAAUUAUGCAGUCCUGAACGCGACCCUACUGCGAUGUGUGGGAAGCGGCGAGGCUCCAUGCCGAUUCGCCACAAUCGUCGGGUUCAGGGUGAUCGUCUAUGCUGCUCCUGUUACAGUUCCGUAUCAUAGCAAACGAAUGUUCGUGCUCCUGUCUUGUUCCAGUGGUAGAGAAUUCAUGCCAACUCGGGUGCAGCUUAAUUUAAGUGCUAGAGCGAAAAGACGAGAGAUAAAUGUCGUCCCGGCAGUGUUAAACAAUGGCGGGGGUCCAUUUCAUUUGUGCUCGAGUCAAGUACAAUACAGAGGGAAUAUGAUGUUUGAAGCAUUUGUGGUGGGUACAUAGGUGACAUAUAUAGGUAGGGGGAUCAUAGCUUACAAAUUCCCACAUUUGUGUGAGGCGAGUGCAUUGCACGGCAGAAAAGAGAGUGUGUAAAAAGGUUGAUCAAGUAGGUGCUCUCGGUAGGGGUGCACGGUGCUGCUGGUGUACGGCCCGUACAGUAUGAGUAUCAAAAUGUUUUGUACAUAGUGUUUAUUUAUAUAAUAUUUUGUGAUUGCGUAAAUUGUUGUGACGAAAGUUAUGAAAAUAUCAUUUUGUCAAUGUUAUAAAGGAAAAUCGUAUUUGAUAAAUGCUACCAAAAAACACAAAUAUAUUUGAAGUUUUUUUUUCUAA
Molecule: long non-coding RNA, 1765 nt
Organism: Anopheles gambiae (African malaria mosquito)
Lineage: Eukaryota; Metazoa; Arthropoda; Insecta; Diptera; Culicidae
Exons: 3
Source: RefSeq, a predicted model, not a curated record